AUACAUGUGUGUACGUAUACGAUCAGAAGAAGGAGCCAGGAGAGCUCAAACCCUAGUUCAGCAAAUCCUCCAAAUCGAAGCUCAAAUCAAGCCCGAAUCGUCUGCAUGAUUACAAAUUCCUGAUCGCCUAGUCGUGGGGAUCAUAAGUUGACUCUAAACAAGCUAGGUGGGAGCUUGAAAAGGAACGGGUCAAACGGAUCAUGGAUGCGAAGAAUGUUUGCGCGGACGCGAGGUACAUUUUGGAUGCCGGAAGACGAUCAAGCUCGACGAAGGACCGAACACAAUAUAGAUACAUGCUUCCGCACUUUAACACUUUGCAAAUUUUAAACAACGAAUUCAACCACGUUAUGUAGAAUAACUUAUGAAUUGUAAAAGUUUUAAUAAAUUCGUAUUUUUAUAGUAUGUGUAGGCUUAACUACACAUCUAAUUGUUGGCGUUUACAUAUAAAAUUGUUAAUUAGUAA
Molecule: long non-coding RNA, 463 nt
Organism: Helianthus annuus (common sunflower)
Lineage: Eukaryota; Viridiplantae; Streptophyta; Magnoliopsida; Asterales; Asteraceae
Exons: 3
Source: RefSeq, a predicted model, not a curated record